Molecule: ribosomal RNA, 692 nt
Filed under: Escherichia coli
Lineage: Bacteria; Pseudomonadati; Pseudomonadota; Gammaproteobacteria; Enterobacterales; Enterobacteriaceae
Description: partial 23S ribosomal RNA
Rfam family: Bacterial large subunit ribosomal RNA
Source: RNAcentral
CUAUGUGUUGUUGGGUAGGGGAGCGUUCUGUAAGCCUGUGAAGGUGUGCUGUGAGGUAUGCUGGAGGUAUCAGAAGUGCGAAUGCUGACAUAAGUAACGAUAAAGCGGGUGAAAAGCCCGCUCGCCGGAAGACCAAGGGUUCCUGUCCAACGUUAAUCGGGGCAGGGUGAGUCGACCCCUAAGGCGAGGCCGAAAGGCGUAGUCGAUGGGAAACAGGUUAAUAUUCCUGUACUUGGUGUUACUGCGAAGGGGGGACGGAGAAGGCUAUGUUGGCCGGGCGACGGUUGUCCCGGUUUAAGCGUGUAGGCUGGUUUUCCAGGCAAAUCCGGAAAAUCAAGGCUGAGGCGUGAUGACGAGGCACUACGGUGCUGAAGUAACAAAUGCCCUGCUUCCAGGAAAAGCCUCUAAGCAUCAGGUAACAUCAAAUCGUACCCCAAACCGACACAGGUGGUCAGGUAGAGAAUACCAAGGCGCUUGAGAGAACUCGGGUGAAGGAACUAGGCAAAAUGGUGCCGUAACUUCGGGAGAAGGCACGCUGAUAUGUAGGUGAAGCGACUUGCUCGUGGAGCUGAAAUCAGUCGAAGAUACCAGCUGGCUGCAACUGUUUAUUAAAAACACAGCACUGUGCAAACACGAAAGUGGACGUAUACGGUGUGACGCCUGCCCGGUGCCGGAAGGUUAAUUGAUGGGGU